GAUGAACGCUAGCGGCAGGCCUAACACAUGCAAGUCGAGGGGUAGAACACUUCGGUGUUUGAGACCGGCGCACGGGUGCGUAACGCGUAUGCAAUCUACCUUGUACAGGGGAAUAGCCCAGAGAAAUUUGGAUUAAUGCCCCAUAGUAUAUAACCUUCGCAUGUUGGUUAUAUUAAAGUUCCAACGGUACAAGAUGAGCAUGCGUCCCAUUAGUUAGUUGGUAAGGUAACGGCUUACCAAGACGAUGAUGGGUAGGGGUCCUGAGAGGGAGAUCCCCCACACUGGUACUGAGACACGGACCAGACUCCUACGGGAGGCAGCAGUGAGGAAUAUUGGUCAAUGGUCGCAAGACGGAACCAGCCAUGCCGCGUGCAGGAAGACGGUCCUAUGGAUUGUAAACUGCUUUUAUACAGGAAGAAACCCUCCCACGUGUGGGAGCUUGACGGUACUGUAGGAAUAAGGAUCGGCUAACUCCGU
This 477-nucleotide ribosomal RNA is filed under the name uncultured Flavobacterium sp. RNAcentral describes it as "bacterial SSU rRNA". It matches the Rfam family "Bacterial small subunit ribosomal RNA", at positions 28 to 506 of the family's 1533-position model. Lineage: Bacteria; Pseudomonadati; Bacteroidota; Flavobacteriia; Flavobacteriales; Flavobacteriaceae. The record is from RNAcentral.